AUGAAGCAAAUGAUCAAAGUUGCACUGCAACAGUGUCAGAUAUGCCAACUUGCUAAACUUGAUAGAGUUCCCUACCCAGGUCUGUUGCAGCCUUUACCUAUACCUUCACAGCCGUGGGAAAUGAUGACAAUGGAUUUCAUAGAAGGAUUGCCUGUUUCACAGCAUUACAACUGCAUUUUAGUGAUUGUGGACAAACUAACUAAGUAUGGGCACUUCAUUGCUCUCAAGCACCCUUACACAGCUACCACAGUGGCAGAACAAUUCUUGGAUCGUGUGUGCCGUCUGCAUGGCCUUCCUGUAUCGCUGGUUUCUGAUCGUGAUCCAGUUUUUACCAGCUCGUUUUGGAAAGAGGUGUGCAACAAAACAGGUAUUAAACUGCGCAUGAGUUCGGGUCAACAUCCUCAGACUGACGAGCAAACCGAACGGGUGAACCAGCAGGUGGAAGGGUAUCUCAGAUGUUUUAUCAGCGCCUCCGAAUCGUUGGUUCAGCUGGCUCCCGCUCUGUGAAUUGUGGUAUAAUACAAAUUGGCACUCUUCGACUGGCCGUACUCCAUUGAACUGGUCUAUGGGCACCCUCCCCAUUAUUUUGGCAUAUCUCCAGUGGACGCUGUUGGCAGUUCAGACGCUCAACAGUGGUUGCGUGACAGGCAUGUGAUCAUGGAGUCAGUUAAACAACAUUUGUUACGUAUGCAGAAGCGAAUGAAGAUUCAGGCUGAUAAACACCGAACGGAAAGAUGUUUCGAGGUAGGCGACACGGUGUUCGUCAACAUGCAACCGUACAUUCAGCCUUCUAUCGCCCCUCGCGCAAAUCACAAGCUGGCUUUCAAAUACUUUGGACCUUUUGAAAUACUGGCCCGGAUCGGUGCAGUGGCUUACAAGCUGAAGCUGCCGGACAACUGCAGAGUACACCUAGUUUUUCAUGUCUCCUUGCUCAAGCGCCAUGUCAAACCAGACCAGCAGGUAUUGCCUGUUCUUCCUUCAACAUCAACUCACCUGCAGGUUCCGUCUUACUUCAUCGAUCGUCACUUGGUUUCGCGUGGGGACAAGAUGGUGGCUCAAGUACUGGUCAAGUGGAGCCAUUCUCCAGCAUCGUCGGCAACCUGGGAAGCCCAAGACAUGCUGAAGCAACAAUUUCCACGCGCACCGGCUUGGGGGCAAGCCGUUUUCCUUCUAGGGGGGAUUGUUAGCAGCACUGACCAGGACACAUCGACAAUACCUGAAUCGCUACAAAAGGAUCCGGCAAGCGCAGAACAGGCGAGGCCCAAGAGGAGAGCCCAGGCGCCGACAAGGUUGCGAGGCCCAUAA
Molecule: ribosomal RNA, 1305 nt
Filed under: Triticum aestivum (bread wheat)
Lineage: Eukaryota; Viridiplantae; Streptophyta; Magnoliopsida; Poales; Poaceae
Description: partial small subunit ribosomal RNA
Source: RNAcentral